This 550-nucleotide ribosomal RNA is filed under the name uncultured bacterium. RNAcentral's name for it is "bacterial SSU rRNA". It matches the Rfam family "Bacterial small subunit ribosomal RNA", at positions 389 to 941 of the family's 1533-position model. The record is from RNAcentral.
CAGCGACGCCGCGUGAGGGAUGAAGGCCUUCGGGUUGUAAACCUCUUUCAGUAGGGAAGAAGCGCAAGUGACGGUACCUACAGAAGAAGCACCGGCUAACUACGUGCCAGCAGCCGCGGUAAUACGUAGGGUGCGAGCGUUGUCCGGAAUUAUUGGGCGUAAAGAGCUUGUAGGCGGUUUGUCGCGUCUGCCGUGAAAAUCCGGGGCUCAACUCCGGACUUGCGGUGGGUACGGGCAGACUAGAGUGUGGUAGGGGAGACUGGGAAUUCCUGGUGUAGCGGUGAAAUGCGCAGAUAUCAGGAGGAACUACCGAUGGCGAAGGCAGGUCUCUGGGGCCACUACUGACGCUGAGAAGCGUAAAAGCGUGGGGAGCGAACAGGAUUAGAUACCCCUGGUAGUCCACGCCGUAAACGUUGGGAACUAGGUGUGGGUCGUCAUUCCACGAGAUCCGUGCCGCAGCUAACGCAUUAAGUUCCCCGCCUGGGGAGUACGGCCGCAAGGCUAAAACUCAAAGGAAUUGACGGGGGGCCCGCACAAGCGGCGGAGCAUG